UAUAUUCGCGCGCUCUUUGCAGCUGCCUGAAUUCUUCCUUCCCCAGCAUCCCCCUCCGCCCGGUCACCCAGACGGCCUUCUCCAGCCUUGCCGAGCUUAAGACCCGUCCCUGCUCCUGACCAUCACCGUCACUGGGGUCACUGUGCUCGUGUUGGUCCUGAAGAGCAUGAACUCCAGGAGGAGAGAGCCAAUCACCUUACAGGACCCUGAAGCCAAGUACCCGCUGCCCUUGAUUGAGAAAGAGGUAAUGGGUCAGCCCUGUGGGUGGAAGGCAGUAAGUGGAUGAUGGCUGGGAUGGCAGGGCAUCCAGACAGUCAUCUCAUGGCCUCCAGUUCACUCCCCGCCGCCCUGUGUGUGUGUGUGU
Molecule: long non-coding RNA, 364 nt
Filed under: Homo sapiens (human)
Lineage: Eukaryota; Metazoa; Chordata; Mammalia; Primates; Hominidae
Description: non-protein coding lnc-CYB5R2-1:16
Source: RNAcentral